UUGUUUUGUUGAAGAAAAUGAAAAGUUUUGAAUAUUUUAAGUUUAUGUAUUUGAUUUUAUUUUUCAUGUUGAAUGCUGUGCUCUAUAAUUUUAAAUUAAUGCAAAGUCGCCAUCUUUGGUACAAAAACAGAAUACGAAAACAUAAUCCAUCACAUAAGGUACUUUAGGAAUGGAAGGCUUUCCUUAUGUGAAGGAGAACUUUUAUAUUUUUAUUUUCUGUGCCCUAUCCAACUGCUUCCUAGAUAAGCCAAUAAAGUAAGGCUCUUCGCUGCUUCAAGGCUUUUGUUCAACUUGAAAUGAUUAGGGUUGUUGCGCAUCAUGAUUUAUGAGGAUCUCAUGCUGUUCGUGCAUCCUUUUCAUGUGUCAAUUCAGUACCUAGUACCUACAAACGGAUAAUAGUUUUGCAAAUAAUUGGUUAGGUUUAUGUGCAUCAACAAUAAUUACGUGUUAAUCCCAAACUAGUUGAAACCAGCUAUAUGAAUCCACAAUAUUGAUUUCGUUCCGCCUACUUAGGUUCUUUGUGAUUGUUGAAAAUCUGUUGGAUUAUUGGAAUCUUCUUUGAAGCAAAGAAUUCUAAUGGUUGUAGUAUGUGUUUUAAUCAUCUCGUCUUCUCAUGCAUUUUGAAACCAUGAAGCUGCUUAUAUUAUAUCAUGAUAAUGGUUUGUGAAGUGCAUGCAAUUAUAGGACAAAACAAGUAGAAUAUAACACGGACUCGGAAGAAAGUGGAGAUGAUGAUGAGCAAGCUCAUGGUGCCUCCGAUGAUGACAAUGAAGGUAAGGCCUGAAGGACUAGUGAGAAUUUAAGCAUUUUACUCUUAGUUGUUGUGAAAGUUAUUGCCUGAUAUUUUAGUUAUCGAAAGCUAUUGCUGGGUGUUUCAUGUUCUUUUGCACUUAUAUUCCAUAGUCUUUCAGUUCCUUUAGAUGGCUAUUGCUGAUUCUAAGUAGUUUUGGGCAAGAAUGGUAACUUUUAACACAUAUAAGUGAGAUUGGAAACAAAUGGUCUUUCAGAAAUGUCAACUCUCUGGAUGAUCUCAAAUUAGGUUGGAUCUUUUGCAUCUUCUUAGUCAAGUUUAUCAUCCUUAGUAGAUUAGGUAUGAUAUUUGAACAGUGAAGACAAUAAGAGAGUCAAAGCCUGCAAUUUUUGAGUGGGAAGAGUACCACAACAGUUUCUGCGUCUUCAACAUACCAUUCGUAUUCACGAAGAACUUAGGUUGCAGGCACCAGUACAACCUUCUAUCCUUUCUUGUCAAUUCAUCAUUGUCUUUUUUUUUAGCAUAAGCUUUAACGUCGGGACUUGUUAAGUAGGUGCCCAAAAUAUUGAUUCCCGAGGGAUUACCUGUAUGGAGAGAGCUAUCUUUUUGUCAGAUGGGUUUUCUUAUGCUCUCAAUGAACAGGAGUAUGUUAAACGCCUUGCUACUAGAUCAAUGACUUUAGGAUUCUUUUCUCCAUUGAUGCAACACAAGAGUUGGGGGUACGCAACUCGAUCGUAAUAACAUCAUUUUCUGCGGGUUUAGUAUCUGCUUUUCUAGUUAAAACAUUUUGCUCUCCUGGAUUUUGUCACUUGGUGUCAGUUGGGUUUAUUGGUUACUGAUAUACUGAUACAUGUUAAAUUUUGUGUACAUAGCUGGUGUUUGCAUUGACGAUCUAAUAAGAGAAUUAAGAUUUGAGAGUGUCUUAUUGUCGUAAAAAAUGUUUUAUCCAGAGAGAAAAGAAGUGUUUGUUAUGAAUUUUAGUAGCUGUUUUAAAAAUUUCAAUUGAAGUUAAAACAAAAGAGUAUUUGAAGUUGAAAUUGAAAACAAGGUGUUUGUACGUUGAAGUUAUGUUUGGCCAUGAAUGUCACUUCGCCUUCAAAUCAUUAAACCAGUAUUUUCGGCGUUCCACUUGAAGUUCAAAUACUGUCUGAGUGGAGUAUUUGCAAAUAAUGAAUGCAAUAUAUCGUUAUAGGCCCUAAACAUGCAUGGUAGAGAAAUGAAUUUCUCUUUUCUUCUUUUAUGUUUGUCUUCAUAAAGUAUUCCUUCUAGCUUGGUUAAUUAUUUAUCUAUUGAUGAAAAGGGGAAAAUUUUUAAGAUUCAUAACUUCAUGAUACUCGUCUGCACUAAAUAAAAUUAAGCAGUAGAGAUUGAAUCAGAUACUUUAUUCGCAAAGGGAGUCCUGCUAUUGCCUUGAACCAUUCUCACUAACACUGACAAAAGUACUUUUAAAUUGAUUAACCAACACAAACUCUAUUUUCAAAAAUAUUUUCUCGAAAUACACUUCAGAAAAAGAAAUACUACUUAUUAAAAUAAAUAUUUUUUGAAAAUUGGGCAACAAAUUGGAGUCCUAUAAAUGUUCAUAAUAUUCACAUCUCGGUCUCACUAAGGUCAUAGGAAGAUAAACUUUAGCUUGUGAAGUGCUAUGUGCUGUAUUAGUAUCGGAUGUAAUGAAUAAAGAAACUCCCAAAUCCCUUUCUGUCUCUUUGCCUUCAAACUUUCUUUUCUGAGCUUAAAUAGGGAGACAAUAGAUAACUUAGCGUGGAGCUAUAUCUUGUGACUUAUUAUAUGUGAGUUUUUGGCACUUGUUUCCUUUGAGGUGGAAUUUUAUUUUGGACUGAUAUCUGUUUCUGGUAGUAGCGUCUACUGAUCAGUUUGUCCUUUUUAUUUCCUUUCAAUUUUGUGUUUGGAAAUAGAAAGUGAUAGUGAGGCUUCUAGACUUAGCAAACCUGGUGCUAGUCUACAUGUAGGUGGUGUCGGAAACCCGGGGGGACGGAUUGGAGGUGCCGAAACUGAUGACGAUAAUUUAGAGGCUUCAGGUUCAGAUGAAGAACGUCGGAAACCCCGGGGGACGGAUUGGAGGUGCCGAAACUGAUGACGAUGAUUUAGAGGCUUCAGUUUCAGAUGAAGAACAAGAAUUGAGAGUAAAUG
Molecule: long non-coding RNA, 2899 nt
Filed under: Capsicum annuum
Lineage: Eukaryota; Viridiplantae; Streptophyta; Magnoliopsida; Solanales; Solanaceae
Description: long non-coding RNA (CANN_LNC011412)
Source: RNAcentral